GAUGAACGCUGGCGGCGUGCUUAACACAUGCAAGUCGAACGUGAGAGGUAGCAAUAUCUUGAAAGUGGCGAACGGGUGAGUAACACGUAGGUGACCUGCCUCGGAGCGGGGGGAUAACAGUUAGAAAUGACUGAAACUAUACCGCAUGAAUCCACUGGGAUGGGAAGAAUGGUGGAGAAAACUCUGGUGCUUCGAGAGGGGCCUGCGGUCGAUUAGCUAGUUGGUGGGUAAAGGCCUACCAAGGCGACGAUCGAUAGCUGGUCUGAGAGGACGAUCAGCCACACGGGAACUGAGACACGGUCCCGACUCCUACGGGGGGCAGCAGUGAGGAAUAUUGGGCAAUGGGCGGAAGCCUGACCCAGCAACGCCGCGUGGAGGAAUGAAGGCCUUCGGGUUGGUAAACUACCUUUUAGUCAGGGGAAGGAGGAAGGACGGUACCG
Molecule: ribosomal RNA, 440 nt
Filed under: uncultured bacterium
Lineage: Bacteria
Description: bacterial SSU rRNA
Rfam family: Bacterial small subunit ribosomal RNA
Source: RNAcentral